AAUCUUCCGCAAUGGACGAAAGUCUGACGGAGCAACGCCGCGUGCGCGACGAAGGUCUUCGGAUCGUAACACUCCGUUGUUAGGGAAGAACAAGUACCGUUCGAACACGGCGGUACCUUGACGGUACCUAACCAGAAGCCCACGGUCAACGACCUGCCCGCCGCCGCGGUAAUACGUAGGUGGCAAGCGUUAUCCGGAAUAACUGGGCGUAAAGCGCGCGCAGGCGGUUUCUUAAGUCUGAUGUGAAAGCCCACGGCUCAACCGGGGAGGGUCAUUGGAAACUGGGAAGCUUGAGUGCAGAAGAGGAGAGUGGAAUUCCAUGUGUAGCGGUGAAAUGCGUAGAGAUAUGGAGAAACACCAGUGGCGAAGGCGACUCUCUGGUCUGCAACUGACGCUGAGGCGCGAAAGCGUGGGGAGCGAACA
Molecule: ribosomal RNA, 423 nt
Filed under: uncultured bacterium
Lineage: Bacteria
Description: partial 16S ribosomal RNA
Rfam family: Bacterial small subunit ribosomal RNA
Source: RNAcentral